AACAUGGAGAGUUUGAUCCUGGCUCAGGAUGAACGCUGGCGGUCUGCUUAACACAUGCAAGUCGAACGGAGGUCUUCGGACCUUAGUGGCGGACGGGUGAGUAACGCGUGAGAAUCUGGCCUCAGGACGGGGACAACGACUGGAAACGGUCGCUAAUACCCGAUGUGCCGAAAGGUGAAAGGAUUAAUUGCCUGAGGAUGAGCUCGCGUCUGAUUAGCUAGUUGGAGGGGUAAAGGCCCACCAAGGCGACGAUCAGUAGCUGGUCUGAGAGGAUGAUCAGCCACACUGGGACUGAGACACGGCCCAGACUCCUACGGGAGGCAGCAGUGGGGAAUUUUCCGCAAUGGGCGAAAGCCUGACGGAGCAAGACCGCGUGAGGGAAGACGGCCUACUGGUUGUAAACCUCUUUUGAUAGGGAAGAACACAAUGACGGUACCUAUCGAAUCAGCCUCGGCUAACUCCGUGCCAGCAGCCGCGGUAAUACGGAGGAGGCAAGCGUUAUCCGGAAUUAUUGGGCGUAAAGCGUCCGUAGGUGGAUAUUCAAGUCAGUUGUUAAAGCGUGGAGCUUAACUCCAUAAAGGCAAUUGAAACUGAAUGUCUAGAGUGCGAUAGGGGCAAGGGGAAUUCCC
Molecule: ribosomal RNA, 629 nt
Filed under: Leptolyngbya sp. IPPAS B-1204
Lineage: Bacteria; Bacillati; Cyanobacteriota; Cyanophyceae; Leptolyngbyales; Leptolyngbyaceae
Description: bacterial SSU rRNA
Rfam family: Bacterial small subunit ribosomal RNA
Source: RNAcentral